GUGGGGAAUUUUGGACAAUGGGCGAAAGCCUGAUCCAGCCAUGCCGCGUGCAGGAUGAAGGCCUUCGGGUUGUAAACUGCUUUUGUACGGAACGAAAAGACUCUGGUUAAUACCUGGGGUCCAUGACGGUACCGUAAGAAUAAGCACCGGCUAACUACGUGCCAGCAGCCGCGGUAAUACGUAGGGUGCAAGCGUUAAUCGGAAUUACUGGGCGUAAAGCGUGCGCAGGCGGUUAUAUAAGACAGAUGUGAAAUCCCCGGGCUCAACCUGGGAACUGCAUCUGUGACUGCAUUGCUGGAGUGCGGCAGAGGGGGAUGGAAUUCCGCGUGUAGCAGUGAAAUGCGUAGAUAUGCGGAGGAACACCGAUGGCGAAGGCAAUCCCCUGGGCCUGCACUGACGCUCAUGCACGAAAGCGUGGGGAGCAAACAGGAUUAGAAACCCGAGUAGUCC
RNAcentral lists this ribosomal RNA (450 nucleotides) under uncultured bacterium. RNAcentral describes it as "partial 16S ribosomal RNA". It matches the Rfam family "Bacterial small subunit ribosomal RNA", at positions 354 to 796 of the family's 1533-position model. The record is from RNAcentral.